This 340-nucleotide unclassified non-coding RNA is filed under the name Hevea brasiliensis (rubber tree). The record is from RNAcentral. Lineage: Eukaryota; Viridiplantae; Streptophyta; Magnoliopsida; Malpighiales; Euphorbiaceae.
AUACCCCUUUAUAAUGGGUGGUUAAUUGGGUAAGAGUAAAACUUUCCAUCUUAUUUAUAUCUAAUUUUAGCACUUUUGAAGAAGAGUUGCUACCUAUGCUUCUCUCAUGAAGCAAGAGGCACGGAGCCACAGACAGAACAGUAAGAAAGGAGACAGGGUGCUAUAUUGAAUAAGGAUUCCUUCAUUGUAAAUUUCCGGGAGGGCUUGUAAUCCCCAACUCACAAUGGGGAAAUCUUUCUUUUGCACAAAGGCUUACUCUUGAGUUAGUAGUAAACAGAAAACUAAACUCUAAUAGAACUCAUGAAAUGAGUGAAGCAACUUAAGAAAUCAUUCAAAAAAG